AUUGAACGCUGGCGGAAUGCUUUACACAUGCAAGUCGAACGGCAGCACGGACUUCGGUCUGGUGGCGAGUGGCGAACGGGUGAGUAAUGUAUCGGAACGUGCCCAGUCGUGGGGGAUAACGUAGUGAAAAUUACGCUAAUACCGCAUACGAUCUAUGGAUGAAAGCGGGGGAUCGCAAGACCCCGCGCGAUUGGAGCGGCCGAUAUCAGAUUAGGUAGUUGGUGGGGUAAAGGCCCACCAAGCCAACGAUCUGUAGCUGGUCUGAGAGGACGACCAGCCACACUGGAACUGAGACACGGUCCAGACUCCUACGGGAGGCAGCAGUGGGGAAUUUUGGACAAUGGGCGAAAGCCUGAUCCAGCCAUUCCGCGUGCAGGAUGAAGGCCCUCGGGUUGUAAACUGCUUCUGUACAGAACGAAAAGGUUUCUACUAAUACUAGGAGCUCAUGACGGUACUGUAAGAAUAAGCACCGGCUAACUACGUGCCAGCCGCCGCAGUAA
RNAcentral lists this ribosomal RNA (500 nucleotides) under uncultured bacterium. RNAcentral describes it as "partial 16S ribosomal RNA". It matches the Rfam family "Bacterial small subunit ribosomal RNA", at positions 30 to 523 of the family's 1533-position model. The record is from RNAcentral.